UACGUAGGGCGCAAGCGUUGUCCGGAAUUAUUGGGCGUAAAGAGCUCGUAGGCGGCCUGUUGCGUCCGCUGUGAAAUCCCGGGGCUCAACCCCGGGCCUGCAGUGGAUACGGGCUGGCUAGAGGCAGGCAGGGGAGAACGGAAUUCCUGGUGUAGCGGUGAAAUGCGCAGAUAUCAGGAGGAACACCGGUGGCGAAGGCGGUUCUCUGGGCCUUACCUGACACUGAGGAGCGAAAGCGUGGGGAGCGAACAGG
RNAcentral lists this ribosomal RNA (253 nucleotides) under uncultured bacterium. RNAcentral describes it as "partial 16S ribosomal RNA". It matches the Rfam family "Bacterial small subunit ribosomal RNA", at positions 524 to 776 of the family's 1533-position model. The record is from RNAcentral.